This 744-nucleotide ribosomal RNA is filed under the name uncultured cyanobacterium. Its description in RNAcentral is "bacterial SSU rRNA". It matches the Rfam family "Bacterial small subunit ribosomal RNA", at positions 1 to 795 of the family's 1533-position model. Lineage: Bacteria; Bacillati; Cyanobacteriota. The record is from RNAcentral.
GCUUAGAGUUUGAUCCUGGCUCAGGAUGAACGCUGGCGGCGUGCUUAACACAUGCAAGUCGAACGGUCUCUUCGGAGAUAGUGGCGGACGGGUGAGUAACGCGUGAGAAUCUGCCUUUAGGUUCGGGACAACAGUUGGAAACGACUGCUAAUACCGAAUGUGUCGCAAGAUGAAAGAUUUAUUGCCUAAAGAUGAGCUCGCGUCUGAUUAGCUAGUUGGUGGGGUAAAAGCGUACCAAGGCGACGAUCAGUAGCUGGUCUGAGAGGAUGAUCAGCCACACUGGGACUGAGACACGGCCCAGACUCCUACGGGAGGCAGCAGUGGGGAAUUUUCCGCAAUGGGCGAAAGCCUGACGGAGCAACGCCGCGUGAGGGAGGAAGGCUUUUGGGUUGUAAACCUCUUUUCUCAAGGAAGAUAAUGACGGUACUUGAGGAAUCAGCAUCGGCUAACUCCGUGCCAGCAGCCGCGGUAAUACGGAGGAUGCAAGCGUUAUCCGGAAUAAUUGGGCGUAAAGCGUUCGUAGGUGGUUUUGCAAGUCUGCUGUUAAAGCGUGUAGCUUAACUACAUAAUGGCGGUGGAAACUGCAAAACUAGAGUGCGUUCGGGACAGAGGGAAUUCCUGGUGUAGCGGUGAAAUGCGUAGAUAUCAGGAAGAACACCGGUGGCGAAGGCGCUCUGCUAGGCCGCAACUGACACUGAGGGACGAAAGCUAGGGGAGCGAAUGGGAUUAGAUACCCCAGUAGUC